Bombina bombina (fire-bellied toad) is the source of this 222-nucleotide small nucleolar RNA. RefSeq annotates it as small nucleolar RNA SNORA73 family. Lineage: Eukaryota; Metazoa; Chordata; Amphibia; Anura; Bombinatoridae. The record is from RefSeq and is a predicted model, not a curated record. The transcript has a single exon.
CCAACGUGGAUAUCCCUUGAGGUUGCUCUCAUGGGCACUGUCCUGGUGGCGUAUGGGAGCAUAGUGUCUUUGGGCACAAUGAUGUAUAAUCCCUUUCCACAACGUUGGAGAGCAUGCAUGUCCCCAGCCCAUCAGCUGGUGUGGGCUGCAUCCUGCAUAUUCCUAAAACUUUCCAGUAAGCUUUGGCAAUGACUGGGAAGACAAACCAUGCAGGUUACAUUA